Dreissena polymorpha is the source of this 2269-nucleotide RNA transcript. RefSeq lists it as uncharacterized. The record is from RefSeq and is a predicted model, not a curated record. The transcript has 14 exons. Lineage: Eukaryota; Metazoa; Mollusca; Bivalvia; Myida; Dreissenidae.
GACUUUUACAUUCCGCGAAAAACCAAUGCCAGUUAGGUGUACGGAAUCAACAUUUUCGCGGAACUUAAUUUUUUCCGUCGGAACAAUUGGCCAUAAAACUCUACACAAAAAUAGAAAUCUAAAAAGCGCGGAACUUUCAUUUAUUUUCCGUCGGAACAAUUUACUUUCAACCCUGUAGAAAACGCUGGCUCAAUAAAUCGCGCGGACACUAAUAGCUACCUUAAAAAUCGGGCGGAGAUUGUCGAAUAUCUAUUUUUAGAAGUCUAGCGCUACAAAGAGAAAAUCCAGUAAAUACCAGAUCCAAAAAGCGCGGAGCACUAAUAUCGUCCGCGAAAAAUAAAGCAUUGAAUUACUGCACAAAACUCGGGUUGUUAGGGCUUACAUCCUUAGUUACCCGCUGUAAUUUGAUUGGUUCCGAGAACUAGAAAUAACCAAUCAGAAACUUUGUAACAAAUGCAACAUAAUGUCAACCUCCAUUUUGUGUAUCUGCGUGCGAAAGGCGGUUUGGUAAUUGAAUUUUAAUGGCAGCCAUCCUUCAUGUUGUCUGUGUUAGAGCCAUAAACAAUGGUUUCUGAUGAUACAAAGCGGAUAAUAAGACACUACCAUAGUCUUGGGUACGAACAAAAGUUAAUUAUUUACCUGUUAAGGGCACAGCACAACAUUAACUACAGUUUUGAGUAUCUCAAAAGAAAAGUGUUUCCAAGCCUUACAUCAAGGAGGCGCCAAUUUUGUUUUGAAUGUGUAGUCAUUAAGUCAUUGCACGAGAUACACAAUGGAUGCUCUGGUUCUGAACAGCUGAGAAAAGUGCUGCGAAUAAAGCAUGGUUUUAAAGUUUCGAGGGCAAUUACAAGAGAGGUUGUCCAUAUUCUGGACUCUGAAGGAGUUAAAAGAAGAGCUAGAAGACGUUUGAGAAGGAGACAGUACAUUUCGAAAGGGCCCAACUAUGUCUGGCAUGCUGAUGGCUAUGACAAAUUGACUCCUUACGGCAUCUGCAUACAUGGAUGUAUAGAUGGGUUCAGUCGAAAAAUCCUUUGGUUAGAGGCCAAUAUCACAAACAAACGACCAGAGGUUAUUGCAACCUACUUCAUCAAUGCGGUGUUAAUAGAAGGUUAUCCUGUGAAACUAAGGACAGACCCUGGAACGGAAAAUGUGAUCAUCUCACGAAUCCAAAAAGAGUUGUCACCAAACGAAAAAGCAUAUGUGUGUGGAUCGUCCACAAGUAAUCAGCGUAUAGAAAGAUGGUGGGGAUAUCUACGACAAAGCAGAGCUGACUUCUGGAUUGAUCACUUCAAGAGCCUUGAAGCACUUGAUGUCCUCGAUAAGAGCAACGCGAUUCACAGGUUUUGCCUUCAGUACAGUUAUCUACCGUUUAUUAAGAAGCAACUGGCUGAAGUUGUGGUAGUUGGAAUUCGCAUAGGAUUCGAAACCAAACCAAGGGGGAUAUAAUUAGUGGCAUUCCAAAUAUACUGCAUAGCUGUCCUGAAUUGACAGGCACAACCAACUUUGGAUCACAAAUAAAUCCUCAGCAGUUGGCAGUAUUACAACAGUACUGUACAAACGCACACGACUUUGAUACAUUGGAUACUGAUCUAUUAUCAGUGGUUCAGUGCAUUAUUAAUACUCUUAAUUUGCCAUUCCUGAAGAUAUUUAAGAUUUGGACUCUGCAAAAUGUCUGUUUGAAGUGCUAAUAACUCAUUGAAAAUACUCAGAUAUGCGAAUAACAUUUUAAUAUUGUGGCACUGACUGUUUAGACAGGUGUUAUAUUGUGUCAAUGCCUUUUCAGUUUGAUUGAAGUCUUAUUUUGAUUUGUAAAUAAUUUGCACUUUUCAAAAUGGUUGAUAUAACUAGUAAACUCCAAAAUGCUUUUAAACAAAAUCAGUUCUGUGAUGUCACCAUAGAAUUACAAUCCAAAAAAGUAUAAUCCAUCACAUCUUGCAGGCCCUGAUGAAGUCCAGUAUUGUUGGGUACCCUAGACUUUGUGAUCUGUACUCAGAAUGCAAGAGCUUUACUUUUAGACUUUAUGUUUUUUUGGAAUUGUUAGGCAGUUAUUUAUUUGGAAGAAUAAAUAUUACAUCUUUUGUGUCAGUUUACCUGUUUUAUAAAAAAAAUUAUUAAUUAUCUCGUAUUGGAAACAGCCAACUGUUUAGUUUGAGUAUAAAUAGAUGAUUUUAUAUAUUCUAUGGGACCAUAAUGCCUCUCGAUGAUGUGUAUUUACAUGCGAACCAUUUAUGCUAUCAUUAAAAAUUUAUUUGUCACAUAUAGGAAUGAA